This 650-nucleotide ribosomal RNA is filed under the name uncultured bacterium. RNAcentral describes it as "bacterial SSU rRNA". It matches the Rfam family "Bacterial small subunit ribosomal RNA", at positions 84 to 748 of the family's 1533-position model. The record is from RNAcentral.
UCCUCUGAUCAGUGGCGAACGGGUGAGUAACACGUGAGCAACCUGCCCCAGACUCUGGGAUAACAGUUGGAAACAGCUGCUAAUACCGGAUACGAGACGGAGAGGCAUCUCUACCGUCUGGAAAGUUUUUCGGUCUGGGAUGGACUCGCGGCCUAUCAGCUAGUUGGUGAGGUAAUGGCUCACCAAGGCGACGACGGGUAGCCGGCCUGAGAGGGCGACCGGCCACACUAGGACUGAGACACGGCCCAGACUCCUACGGGAGGCAGCAGUGGGGAAUAUUGCACAAUGGGCGAAAGCCUGAUGCAGCGACGCCGCGUGAGGGAUGAAGGCCUUCGGGUUGUAAACCUCUUUCAGCAGGGAAGAAGCGAAAGUGGCGGUACCUGCAGAAGAAGCACCGGCUAACUACGUGCCAGCAGCCGCGGUAAUACGUAGGGUGCGAGCGUUGUCCGGAAUUAUUGGGCGUAAAGAGCUUGUAGGCGGUUUGUCGCGUCUGCAGUGAAAAUCCGGGGCUCAACCCCGGACUUGCUGUGGGUACGGGCAGACUAGAGUAUGGUAGGGGAGACCGGAAUUCCUGGUGUAGCGGUGGAAUGCGCAGAUAUCAGGAGGAACACCGAUGGCGAAGGCAGGUCUCUGGGCCAUAACUGACGCUG